GCCACUUACCUAGGACGGUGACCUGGGUCCCACCGCCGAGGACAUACCACACAAUGUCGCUGUCCCACACCUGACAGUAAUAGUCGGCCUCGUCCACAGCCUGGGCUCCGCUGAUGGUCAGGGUGGCCGUGUUCCCUGAGUUGGAGCCUGAGAACCGCUCAGGGAUCCCUGAGGGCCGGCUGCUAUCAGCCAUGACCAGCACAGGGGACUGGCCUGGCUUCUGCUGGUACCAGCGAGCAA
Molecule: long non-coding RNA, 240 nt
Organism: Nycticebus coucang (slow loris)
Lineage: Eukaryota; Metazoa; Chordata; Mammalia; Primates; Lorisidae
Exons: 2
Source: RefSeq, a predicted model, not a curated record